This 330-nucleotide ribosomal RNA is filed under the name uncultured bacterium. RNAcentral's name for it is "bacterial SSU rRNA". It matches the Rfam family "Bacterial small subunit ribosomal RNA", at positions 568 to 898 of the family's 1533-position model. The record is from RNAcentral.
CGUGUAGGCGGGUCUUUAAGUCAGGGGUGAAAUGCCAGGGCUCAACCUUGGAACCGCCUUUGAUACUGGAGAUCUUGAGUCCGGGAGAGGUGAGUGGAACUGCGAGUGUAGAGGUGAAAUUCGUAGAUAUUCGCAAGAACACCAGUGGCGAAGGCGGCUCACUGGCCCGGAACUGACGCUGAGACGCGAAAGCGUGGGGAGCAAACAGGAUUAGAUACCCUGGUAGUCCACGCUGUAAACGAUGGAUGCUAGCCGUUGGGGAGCUUGCUCUUCAGUGGCGCAGCUAACGCUUUAAGCAUCCCGCCUGGGGAGUACGGUCGCAAGAUUAAA